GUAGGGAAUAUUGCACAAUGGAGGAAACUCUGAUGCAGCGACGCCGCGUGAGUGAUGAAGGCCUUCGGGUCGUAAAACUCUGUGAUAAGGGAAGAUAAUGACGGUACCUUAUCAGAAAAGACCGGCUAACUUCGUGCCAGCAGCCGCGGUAAUACGAGGGGUCUAAGCGUUGUUCGGAAUCACUGGGCGUAAAGCGGGUGUAGGUGGCUAUGCAAGUUGGAUGUGAAAUCCCCGGGCUCAACCCGGGAAGUGCAUCAAAAACUACGUAGCUUGAGUGCGGGAAAGAAAGGCAGAAUUCCUGGUGUAGUGGUGAAAUACGUAGAUAUCAGGAGGAACUCCGGUGGCGAAGGCGGCCUUUUGGCCCAGCACUGACACUCAGACCCGAAAGCGUGGGUAGCAAACAGGAUUAGAAACCCUGGUAGUCC
This 425-nucleotide ribosomal RNA is filed under the name uncultured bacterium. RNAcentral's name for it is "partial 16S ribosomal RNA". It matches the Rfam family "Bacterial small subunit ribosomal RNA", at positions 354 to 796 of the family's 1533-position model. The record is from RNAcentral.